Passer domesticus (house sparrow) is the source of this 3296-nucleotide long non-coding RNA. RefSeq lists it as uncharacterized. The record is from RefSeq and is a predicted model, not a curated record. Lineage: Eukaryota; Metazoa; Chordata; Aves; Passeriformes; Passeridae. The transcript is spliced from 4 exons.
GAUAAGGAAAGGGAUAGUAACAAUAUUAGUAACUAAAGUGUAUAGAAGAGAGUGAGUCACAUGCCAGAGCCCAGCUUGACCACCGGUGCCACCCAAACUCUCCUUCUGGCUCAGAACUGGAACAACCCAGCUGUUCCCCCUGACUUGGAACCUGCAGCAGCCCAGCAUUCCUUCUGCCACAUUUUCUUAACCAGAAGAGACUCCCUCCUCCCCACCUCUGGUAAUGAGGCACAGAAUAACAUCCAGAUCCCAGCCACGCCCCUUCCUGCAAAAAUGAGCUCUGUCCUGGCCAGAACCAGGACCCAGGGUGAGCAGGGCUGGUCUGGGGCUGCUGCUGGCACCCAGGCUGCUGAGGAGCCCCAAAGGCAAGAGGCAUACUCAGGGCAGCGCGCCGGGGCAAUACUUCUUGGGAACUAACAUAAAGCAGCAGAACCUGAAAAAGUCAGCCAUUCACUGGAAGGGGCCAGAUGGAAUGGGUCCUGUGGAAAGAUGAUAUGUGCCAUCUGCUGGGACCCCACUGCUGGAACAUUCUCAGCAAGUGACUGCCCUUAGUACACCUUCAGGUUUUGGAAUAAAAUCCUGCUUUAAUCAGUGUUACCUGUCCACUGUAACAAAGCCUGGACUGAAUCAAGUGGAGACCAGAAGCAAUUCUUUAUAACCAGACUUAGACUUCAUUUGCUGAGGCCUGAUCUCUCCCUUUGACUGCCAUAAGCAGCCUCUGCAUGCCCCUCCUGUACACUCUGUGCUGGCUGCCCAAGAGCUGCUGAGUGACGGACAGAAGGAGGGACAGUGGCCAGGGUGGUGGCAUGAGCCAGCAGGACGUGUGACCCACGUGGAGUCUGUGUUACGAAGAAGAGCAUGCCUUGGCAGGACUGCCUGGUCACUGACCCUACACUGGCUCAGAUCAUUCCUUGGUAAAAGAUUCCUUUCUGGGAAAGGGUUCUUCAGAUCCAGGUUGUCUGGGCUUUGAAACCAUAUCAGAUUGCUGCUGCUAGGACCAACACUAUUUGGAAGGCAGGUAUUCACAUGUUUUACAAUGUCUUGUUAAAAGGCAGUAGGUGGUUCUUCUGUGCAAGUCUGAGGCUGGGACUACUGGCCCCAGCAGUGUGGCACAUGUAGCACGUCCAUUCCACCAGAGCUUAUAAGCUGAAGUGGCCUUAAUGGAAAAUUCCCAGUAUGACAACAAACCUUAGACCCCAAAAUACAAGAGCUAUAGGGUCAUAAAACCAUAAAAAAUUUACAUUGGAAGGAACCUUGGGGGUUUCUUGUCUCACCUCCUGCCUAAACCAGGGCUAGAGCAGGUUGCUCAGGGCCUCAUCUGGUUGAAAAGACGAAACCUCCAAAGACAGAGAUUUUCCAGCCCCUUUGAAUCCAUUUUCCUAAAAUCAAUGUGCAAUUUUAAGGUAUACCUCAGGUCUUCAGGUAAGGGUAGGACAUACUUUACUCCUCUGUUUAGAGAACUACACAGUGACUCAGCUGCAAGUAUUCAGGCCAGAAGUUACUCCUGUGACUACAGCAAAUGAACGUGGCUAAAUUCCAGAGGGUUUUCCUAGAGGUUUUACCAAGGCCAGAGGACUAUAAAGCUACCAGCUAUAAGGACAGUGUGAAAAUAUGCCCACGUAACAGAAUCUGGACUAGCUGUACCUCUUGGAUACUCACCAGCCUGCUGUGAGGGGAUCCAAACACUGGAUCUUCCACUUGAAUUUUUAUGAGGUAGGGACAGAGCCCGGACAAAUGCCCCAAAUGGCCCUGCUUGUUUCCUCUACCUACUCCCUAACACCUGCUCUAGAGACUUCAUGGCUGGACUCCUUAACCUGUAUCCAGGGCUUAUUUGUCUGUCUUAUCUCGUAUCAGUAUUUCCACUCUUAAGGUUAAUACUCAAUUGCUGAAUUCUUUAAGAGUUAGGGACUUUUUAAUGGGAAAUACGUACUGGUAGGUGCAUAGAGCCUUUGUGUAGAGCUUCUGAACUUAAAGGAGUCAGUUACUUAACUCAGAAUUACAGAGGACUCUAUUAGUUCUUGCUGACUUAAAAAGAUCACUUUUAAGUGAUCUUAUUUUUAAGUCUUGCUGUCUUAAAAAUAUGGUGAGUGCUAUAUUUCCUUGGAAGCAGGGCAGAAAUUUCAAACAUUAGGAAGGCAGGACCUCCUAUUAUCCCACAAGGCUCUCACACAGGCCUCUUGUUCAGGAGCUGUUGAACCAAGACUUGACCUGAGAGUUCAGUUUGGAGUCUAUCACAAAAUUCAUAAUGAAUUCUAAACCUUGUGACAAUUAAGGGUCUGUCUUGAAAAAUUAGGGGUUUCAAGUAGCAGGGGAAAUUCACAGUUAUAUUACAUUUUUAAGAAGAGGCAUUAAUUUAGCAAAAUUAAGAAAAUCUAUGAAGUAUUUGGUAAGAAAGAAAUGGGAAUGCCUCCUUAUUGCAGCCAAUAAAAGUCCAGCAGCGUUAGAGUACAAAUGAUUCACGCCCUGAUUUGGAAGUGAGAUACUUGCAUCUGUAGAAUUGUGAGUGAAUGAGCAAGUGAAGAGACAUCUCAGCAGCAAGGAGAGCAGAGAAGAGCAGUGCUGGCCCAUGUCACAGCCAGAGCAGUGAAUGUAGAGCUGCCUGCUGAGUGUGUGCAGUUAUUCCAGAAAAAAAAGACCGAAAGCAUUGAGCUUACAAGCUCCAGUGUGUGCUGUGUAUUGGGAGUUGUGGUGAUCCAUUUCCUCCCAUGCAGAUGUGCACCACAAGGCACCAGAAAAAAAAAAUAUCUUUGUUUGAGUUCUUUAACCGUGAGUUAACAUAGAGAUUCAACCAUUUAUAUCCUUUGAUAAGGAAUUGGUAUGUGGGCAAAGCUCCAUGUUUCCAAUGAGAGAAGGAUGAGCAACCAGCUGAGUCUGCUGUAGUCAUUGGCUCUGUGAUUCCCAACACAAAAUUACUAAGAAUCUUACUUGGUGCAAUAAAUUUUAGUCUUCAAAAAUUAAUUUAUUUUUUUUUUCAGUCAGAAAGGCAGAGGAGAUUACCGUCACUCCUCACCAACCACACAAAACAGUGUCAACAUGGAACAUAUAAUCUGAUUUCAUGGGUGACCUGUGACACCUGCAAAUGCAAACAAUCUGAGCCAAACAUUAGACUCUCUUUAAAUCCAGCUCAGAGCUAAUCAACAGAACCCUGGUCAUUAUCUGUCUCAUCCUGAGGCAAAUCUCUAUGCUUGGCCAGAUUAAACAUCCACUAAAUCCCAGUUUCUAUGUUGAUCCCGUCUCUGCUAAUGAUAAAGGAAUCCUAUUUCUUGUUUUAAAAUAUUAAAAAUUACCUUGUCCCU